Non-coding RNA from Acanthosepion pharaonis, 112 nucleotides. The record is from the annotation of a GenBank genome assembly. NCBI's taxonomy places the organism in Eukaryota, Metazoa, Mollusca, Cephalopoda, Sepiida, Sepiidae.
UUACGGCCACAUCAAGCUGAAACACAGAUUCCCGUACAACCACCGAAGUUAAGCAAAGUCGAGUCUGGUUAGUACCUCGAUAGGUAGCAGCUUGAGAAUACCAGAUGCUGUA